GACGAACGCUGGCGGCGUGCCUAAUACAUGCAAGUAGAACGCACAGUUUAUACCGUAGCUUGCUACACCAUAGACUGUGAGUUGCGAACGGGUGAGUAACGCGUAGGUAACCUGCCUGGUAGCGGGGGAUAACUAUUGGAAACGAUAGCUAAUACCGCAUAAUAUUGAUUAUUGCAUGAUAAUUAAUUGAAAGGUGCAAUUGCACCACUACCAGAUGGACCUGCGUUGUAUUAGCUAGUAGGUGAGGUAACGGCUCACCUAGGCGACGAUACAUAGCCGACCUGAGAGGGUGAUCGGCCACACUGGGACUGAGACACGGCCCAGACUUCUACGGGAGGCAGCAGUAGGGAAUCUUCGGCAAUGGACGAAAGUCUGACCGAGCAACGCCGCGUGAGUGAAGAAGGUUUUCGGAUCGUAAAGCUCUGUUGUAAGAGAAGAACGGGUGUGAGAGUGGAAAGUUCACACUGUGACGGUAUCUUACCAGAAAGGGACGGCUAACUACGUG
RNAcentral lists this ribosomal RNA (505 nucleotides) under uncultured bacterium. RNAcentral's name for it is "partial 16S ribosomal RNA". It matches the Rfam family "Bacterial small subunit ribosomal RNA", at positions 28 to 507 of the family's 1533-position model. The record is from RNAcentral.